UAAACUGGGAUUUAGAUACCCCACUAUGCCCAGCCCUAAACUUAGAUAGCAAAAUACCACCUAUCCGCCAGAGAACUACAAGCAAAAUACUUAAAACUCAAAGGACUUGGCGGCAUUCCAUAUCAACCUAGAGGAGCCCGUCCAAUAAUCGAUAAUACGCGCUCAACCCAACCAUUUUUGGCCACUCCAGCCUAUAUACCGCCGUCGUCAGCUAACCUUAUGAAAGAAAAGAAGUAAGCACAAUAGCCCUCGCUAAAACGUCAGGUCAAGGUGUAGCUAAUAAAAUGGAUGUGAUAGGCUACAUUUUCUAUUAUAGAAAAUAACGGAAAAUACAAUGAAACCUUGUAAUAGAAGGUGAAUUUAGAAGUAAAUUAAGAAAGUAUCCUUAUUUUAACCUCGCUCUGGAAUGCGCACACACCGCC
This 422-nucleotide ribosomal RNA is filed under the name Cordylus machadoi. RNAcentral describes it as "partial 12S ribosomal RNA". It matches the Rfam family "Bacterial small subunit ribosomal RNA", at positions 768 to 1394 of the family's 1533-position model. Lineage: Eukaryota; Metazoa; Chordata; Lepidosauria; Squamata; Cordylidae. The record is from RNAcentral.